CUCCCACCCUUGAAUACUAUGUUUGUUGCUUUGGCGGGCCACGAGGCCUAGCCGCGCCCCGGCUUCGGCGGGGGAGCGCCCGCCAGAGGACCCCAACCCUGAAUAUUAGUGUCGUCUGAGUACUAUAUAAUAGUUAAAACUUUCAACAACGGAUCUCUUGGUUCUGGCAUCGAUGAAGAACGCAGCGAAAUGCGAUAAGUAAUGUGAAUUGCAGAAUUCAGUGAAUCAUCGAAUCUUUGAACGCACAUUGCGCCCCUUGGUAUUCCGAGGGGCAUGCCAGUUCGAGCGUCAUAUUAGCCAAUCCAGCUUGCUGGGUCUUGGGCACCGCUAUAUAGCGGGCCUCAAACACAGUGGCGGUACGGCCGGGCUCUAAGCGUAGUAAUUCUUCUCGCUAUGGGGUCCUGGGCGGCACCUGCCAGCAACCCCCAAUUUAUUAGGUUGACCUCGGAUCAGGUAGGGAUACCCGCUGAACUUAAGCAUAU
This 482-nucleotide ribosomal RNA is filed under the name uncultured Helotiales. RNAcentral describes it as "eukaryotic LSU rRNA". The stretch from base 138 to 291 matches the Rfam family "5.8S ribosomal RNA". The record is from RNAcentral. Lineage: Eukaryota; Fungi; Ascomycota; Leotiomycetes; Helotiales.